AAAAGCAAUAAAAAGUGCUCUACUGCUCCAGGUCUUUUGGGCUUUAAGCGCAAAGCACAGUGAUGAAAAAAAUAAAAAUAUAUAUGUAAUGCGAGAACAAAGUAACAACUUCGUUCAUAGUGAUUUCCUUAAUAGUUAAUAUAUCUUUUUGCCAAUCAUAUUUAUUGUUUAGUACCGCAGAAUGAGCCUAUUUGAGUUGCAGAAAAUCCUAUAUAUUUUCCACUCCAAUUCACAUUUUCCCAUUAA
RNAcentral lists this long non-coding RNA (246 nucleotides) under Nicotiana benthamiana. Its description in RNAcentral is "long non-coding RNA (NBEN_LNC001194)". Lineage: Eukaryota; Viridiplantae; Streptophyta; Magnoliopsida; Solanales; Solanaceae. The record is from RNAcentral.